GUGCCCGUAGCUCAGUGGAUAGAGCGCUGGCCUGCGGAGCCAGAGAUCGGAGGUUCGAGUCCUCUCGGGCACGCCA
This 76-nucleotide transfer RNA is filed under the name Nitrososphaerota archaeon. RNAcentral describes it as "tRNA-Arg". It matches the Rfam family "tRNA". Rfam says of the family: Transfer RNA (tRNA) molecules are approximately 80 nucleotides in length. Their secondary structure includes four short double-helical elements and three loops (D, anti-codon, and T loops). RNAcentral also lists the same sequence under 2 other names. Lineage: Archaea; Thermoproteati; Nitrososphaerota. The record is from RNAcentral.